CCCAAGAGAUCGGGAUAACACCUAGGAAACAGAUGCUAAUACCGGAUAACAACAGAUGAUGCCUAUCAACUGUUUAAAAGAUGGUUCUGCUAUCACUCUUGGAUGGACCUGCGGUGCAUUAGCUAGUUGGUAGGGUAACGGCCUACCAAGGCGAUGAUGCAUAGCCGAGUUGAGAGACUGAUCGGCCACAUUGGGACUGAGACACGGCCCAAACUCCUACGGGAGGCAGCAGCA
Molecule: ribosomal RNA, 234 nt
Filed under: uncultured Lactobacillus sp.
Lineage: Bacteria; Bacillati; Bacillota; Bacilli; Lactobacillales; Lactobacillaceae
Description: partial 16S ribosomal RNA
Rfam family: Bacterial small subunit ribosomal RNA
Source: RNAcentral